This is a long non-coding RNA of Haliotis rubra (blacklip abalone), 123 nucleotides long. RefSeq lists it as uncharacterized. Lineage: Eukaryota; Metazoa; Mollusca; Gastropoda; Lepetellida; Haliotidae. The record is from RefSeq and is a predicted model, not a curated record. The transcript is spliced from 3 exons.
ACAGAUUUUACCUCAGUAGUACAGUACAGUACAGUACAGUAGCUUCUUAGUAUGCAAGUACAGUUACAGUGUUUCUUUGAUAUCAUUGUCAAAUAACAUGCUGUUCACAAAUAUGUAAAAACG